GACGAACGCUGGCGGCGUGCUUAACACAUGCAAGUCGAACGGAAAGGCCCUGCUUUUGUGGGGUGCUCGAGUGGCGAACGGGUGAGUAACACGUGAGUAACCUGCCCUUGACUUUGGGAUAACUCCAGGAAACUGGGGCUAAUACCGGAUAGGAGCUCCUGCUGCAUGGUGGGGGUUGGAAAGUUUCGGCGGUUGGGGAUGGACUCGCGGCUUAUCAGCUUGUUGGUGGGGUAGUGGCUUACCAAGGCUUUGACGGGUAGCCGGCCUGAGAGGGUGACCGGCCACAUUGGGACUGAGAUACGGCCCAGACUUCUACGGGAGGCAGCAGUGGGGAAUAUUGCACAAUGGGCGGAAGCCUGAUGCAGCAACGCCGCGUGCGGGAUGACGGCCUUCGGGUUGUAAACCGCUUUCGCCUGUGACGAAGCGUGAGUGACGGUAAUGGGUAAAGAAGCACCGGCUAACUACGUGCCAGCAGCCGCGGUGAUACGUAGGGUGCGAGCGUUGUCCGGAUUUAUUGGGCGUAAAGGGCUCGUAGGUGGUUGAUCGCGUCGGAAGUGUAAUCUUGGGGCUUAACCCUGAGCGUGCUUUCGAUACGGGUUGACUUGAGGAAGGUAGGGGAGAAUGGAAUUCCUGGUGGAGCGGUGGAAUGCGCAGAUAUCAGGAGGAACACCAGUGGCGAAGGCUGUUCUCUGGGCCUUUCCUGACGCUGAGGAGCGAAAGCGUGGGGAGCGAACAGGCUUAGAUACCCUGGUAGUCCACGCUGUAAACGGUGGGUACUAGGUGUGGGGUCCAUUCCACGGGUUCCGUGCCGUAGCUAACGCUUUAAGUACCCCGCCUGGGGAGUACGGCCGCAAGGCUAAAACUCAAAGGAAUUGACGGGGCCCCGCACAAGCGGCGGAGCAUGCGGAUUAAUUCGAUGCAACGCGUAGAACCUUACCUGGGUUUGACAUGGAUCGGGAGUGCUCAGAGAUGGGUGUGCCUCUUUUGGGGUCGGUUCACAGGUGGUGCAUGGCUGUCGUCAGCUCGUGUCGUGAGAUGUUGGGUUAAGUCCCGCAACGAGCGCAACCCUUGUUCACUGUUGCCAGCACGUUAUGGUGGGGACUCAGUGGAGACCGCCGGGGUCAACUCGGAGGAAGGUGGGGAUGACGUCAAGCCAUCAUGCCCCUUAUGUCCAGGGCUUCACGCAUGCUACAAUGGCUGGUACAGAGAGUGGCGAGCCUGUGAGGGUGAGCGAAUCUCGGAAAGCCGGUCUCAGUUCGGAUUGGGGUCUGCAACUCGACCUCAUGAAGUCGGAGUCGCUAGUAAUCGCAGAUCAGCAACGCUGCGGUGAAUACGUUCCCGGGGCU
RNAcentral lists this ribosomal RNA (1346 nucleotides) under uncultured bacterium. Its description in RNAcentral is "partial 16S ribosomal RNA". It matches the Rfam family "Bacterial small subunit ribosomal RNA", at positions 28 to 1381 of the family's 1533-position model. The record is from RNAcentral.